This 23-nucleotide small nuclear RNA is filed under the name Arabidopsis thaliana (thale cress). RNAcentral describes it as "snRNA_14756". Lineage: Eukaryota; Viridiplantae; Streptophyta; Magnoliopsida; Brassicales; Brassicaceae. The record is from RNAcentral.
CGACGAAUUUACAAAUAUUGUGU